RNAcentral lists this ribosomal RNA (468 nucleotides) under uncultured bacterium. RNAcentral describes it as "partial 16S ribosomal RNA". It matches the Rfam family "Bacterial small subunit ribosomal RNA", at positions 28 to 507 of the family's 1533-position model. The record is from RNAcentral.
GACGAACGCUGGCGGCGUGCUUAACACAUGCAAGUCGAACGGAAAGGCCCUGCUUUUGUGGGGUGCUCGAGUGGCGAACGGGUGAGUAACACGUGAGUAACCUGCCCUUGACUUUGGGAUAACUUCAGGAAACUGGGGCUAAUACCGGAUAGGAGCUCCUGCUGCAUGGUGGGGGUUGGAAAGUUUCGGCGGUUGGGGAUGGACUCGCGGCUUAUCAGCUUGUUGGUGGGGUAGUGGCUUACCAAGGCUUUGACGGGUAGCCGGCCUGAGAGGGUGACCGGCCACAUUGGGACUGAGAUACGGCCCAGACUCCUACGGGAGGCAGCAGUGGGGAAUAUUGCACAGUGGGCGGAAGCCUGAUGCAGCAACGCCGCGUGCGGGAUGACUGCCUUCGGGUUGUAAACCGCUUUCGCCUGUGACGAAGCGUGAGUGACGGUAAUGGGUAAAGAAGCACCGGCUAACUACGUG